CACUUUUGUAAUAUACUAGUUGGUAUGAUGCUUUCAAUUUUUUAGUUCAAUUUUAACAGUGACAAGUGAUGGUUAGCAUCUAAGAGUCAAUUUUAUGAGUAUUUAGUUUGGAAUUUGGAGCUAAAUUGUUGAACAUUUCAAAUGAUGCUAACACUUAUUUAAAGAAUUUAGAGGAAUCUCAGUUGAUGUGAAUCAAAGCGAAAAUCAAGUGUCAUUUAUGUUGUGUAAGAUCAUAAGGAUGUGUAAUAGUAUAAUUCUAUUGCAGGUAUAAUAUGUUGAGAAAAUUUUAGGAAGUUUAACUAUCUUGAUGUUAAAACAUUGAGUAUCCCUUAUGGUCCUAAUGCUACUUGAGUAAAAAUAUAUGAAAUAUACCAUAACAUAUUAUAUGGUACUGUAUAUACAAUGUGAAUUAGCCAUUGUAUUAGAACAAUACAAUGAAGUAUCAUGAGAUUUGUUUGAGUAAAAAUAUAUACUUGAGAUUUAUUUCUCUAUUGUGAGAGUAUUAUCACUUGAAAAUUAUUCAAGUAAGCUUGUGUGAUAAAUCCACAAAUAAAGUCACAUUUAUCCAAUGUGGGUGUCGCUUAGAUAGUAUCCUAAGUAGACUUGUAUAACAAAUUUAUAAUUGGAUAUGAGCCAAUGAGAUAAAUUUAUAAGUAGAUUUAUUUUAUUGAUGAAUAAGUUGUCGCUUAGUAGCCAUCUAAGUAGACUUGUAUAAACUUAUUGUGAAAAUCGAGUUUAUUUUAUAUAGACUCAAGAAAAUAUGAGAUUAUAAUUGACUUUGAGACGUCUUAGUCAAUAUGUGUGAAUUGAUCGGAUCCGUUGACUUAACCCCUGGGAAGAAAAUUGAUAGGAAUGGACUAUGCCACUGAAAAACGACAAGUAAUGNNNNNNNNNNNNNNNNNNNNNNNNNNNNNNAAUGGCUAUGAGAAGUGCUAAAUUAAAAUUAAUUUGAGGGGUAAGCUUAAGGCUUUUAAUGAUUACCAUAAGCCCUUGUGGGUGGUGUAUGGUUGUAGCAUACGCUAGAUGGAAUCACCUAUAUGAGUGUCAGGUGGGGCCGCUUGCAUGAGACUGUGGCGGGUCUCUAGAGCACUCAUGAAAACCAGACACGCGCACGGCCUAAAUGCGCAACACCGCGUAACACGAGAAUUGUGGGGGUGUGAUGCGGGUGCUAGACCGCUAACACACGUCAAGUGUCUUUGGUUCAUAUAGCUUGCUACACCAAUUUCACUAUGUGUUAAGUCUAUCAUUCUAGCACUGGUUCAUAUAGCUUGCUACACCAGUUUGAUGCGUCACACUCAAAAGUAACUCAGCCAAUGUUUUAAAACAAUUUUAAUUUGUCAUUCUUUAAUUU
RNAcentral lists this long non-coding RNA (1351 nucleotides) under Trifolium pratense (red clover). RNAcentral's name for it is "long non-coding RNA (TPRA_LNC012992)". The record is from RNAcentral. Lineage: Eukaryota; Viridiplantae; Streptophyta; Magnoliopsida; Fabales; Fabaceae.